GAACCAGUACCGUGAGGGAAAGGCGAAAAGAACCCCGGCGAGGGGAGUGAAAUAGAACCUGAAACCGUGUACGUACAAGCAGUGGGAGCACCUUCGUGGUGUGACUGCGUACCUUUUGUAUAAUGGGUCAGCGACUUAUAUUUUGUAGCAAGGUUAACCGAAUAGGGGAGCCGUAGGGAAACCGAGUCUUAACUGGGCGUCUAGUUGCAAGGUAUAGACCCGAAACCCGGUGAUCUAGCCAUGGGCAGGUUGAAGGUUGGGUAACACUAACUGGAGGACCGAACCGACUAAUGUUGAAAAAUUAGCGGAUGACUUGUGGCUGGGGGUGAAAGGCCAAUCAAACCGGGAGAUAGCUGGUUCUCCCCGAAAGCUAUUUAGGUAGCGCCUCGUGAACUCAUCUUCGGGGGUAGAGCACUGUUUCGGCUAGGGGUCCAUCCCGGAUUACCAAACCGAUGCAAACUCCGAAUACCGAAGAAUGUUAUCACGGGAGACACACGGCGGGUGCUAACGUCCGUCGUGAAGAGGGAAACAACCCAGACCGCCAGCUAAGGUCCCAAAGUCAUGGUUAAGUGGGAAACGAUGUGGGAAGGCAUAGACAGCCAGGAUGUUGGCUUAGAAGCAGCCAUCAUUUAAAGAAAGCGUAAUAGCUCACUGGUCGAGUCGGCCUGCGCGGAAGAUGUAACGGGGCUAAACCAUGCACCGAAGCUGCGGCAGCGACGCUUAGGCGUUGUUGGGUAGGGGAGCGUUCUGUAAGCCGUUGAAGGUGGCCUGUGAGGGCUGCUGGAGGUAUCAGAAGUGCGAAUGCUGACAUAAGUAACGAUAAUGCGGGUGAAAAACCCGCACGCCGGAAGACCAAGGGUUCCUGUCCAACGUUAAUCGGGGCAGGGUGAGUCGACCCCUAAGGCGAGGCUGAAAAGCGUAGUCGAUGGGAAACAGGUUAAUAUUCCUGUACUGGGUGUGACUGCGAAGGGGGGACGGAGAAGGCUAGGCUAGCCGGGCGACGGUUGUCCCGGUUUAAGCAUGUAGGCGGAGCGACUUGGUAAAUCCGGUUGCUUAUCAACGCUGAGGUGUGAUGACGAGCCACUACGGUGGUGAAGUAGUUGAUGCCAAGCUUCCAGGAAAAGCCUCUAAGCAUCAGGUGACAUUCAAUCGUACCCCAAACCGACACAGGUGGUCAGGUAGAGAAUACUCAGGCGCUUGAGAGAACUCGGGUGAAGGAACUAGGCAAAAUGGUGCCGUAACUUCGGGAGAAGGCACGCUGGCAUUAGGUAAAGAGACUUGCUCUCGGCGCCGAAGCCAGUCGCAGAUACCAGCUGGCUGCAACUGUUUAAUAAAAACACAGCACUGUGCAAACACGAAAGUGGACGUAUACGGUGUGACGCCUGCCCGGUGCUGGAA
This 1398-nucleotide ribosomal RNA is filed under the name Yersinia ruckeri. RNAcentral describes it as "bacterial LSU rRNA". It matches the Rfam family "Bacterial large subunit ribosomal RNA", at positions 492 to 1874 of the family's 2925-position model. Lineage: Bacteria; Pseudomonadati; Pseudomonadota; Gammaproteobacteria; Enterobacterales; Yersiniaceae. The record is from RNAcentral.